Amblyraja radiata (thorny skate) is the source of this 2241-nucleotide long non-coding RNA. RefSeq lists it as uncharacterized. The transcript has 3 exons. The record is from RefSeq and is a predicted model, not a curated record. NCBI's taxonomy places the organism in Eukaryota, Metazoa, Chordata, Chondrichthyes, Rajiformes, Rajidae.
AUUUUCUAUGUUAUGAGGAGAAGGCAGGAAAAUGGGGUUGAGAGGGAACGAUAGACUCUGUUGAAUGACAGAGUAGACUCAAUGGACCAAAUGGCCUAAUUCUGCUCCGACAACAUGAACUUAUGAUAGGAAAGUUAUGGAGGGAUUUAGGCUAAACACAGGCAGGAAAUUGGGGCAUGCUUGGUUGGCAUGGGCAAGUUGGGCUGAAUGGCCUGAUUCCAAGGAUUCUGACUUGUACAUGACAGAACGUUGGUUGUACAUUAGCUCCACGAAUGAGUGAUAUAUGAUGCUGCAGAAUUCAGCAGAUUGGGAAAAGUCUUAACUCGUAUUAUACAGGUAAAUCGAUCCAUAAGGAUAUGCAAUCAAGGACAAUGCUUGGGAUUAAAGGAUUUAGAAUUCACACAAUCUCAUAAAGCAGACUAGAAAGGGAGAUGAGUUGGACGUUCUUGAAUAUUGUUUGAAGUGAGGCCUUUGAAUAAGUUUAUCUCAGUGAAAUAGUGGACUUUUGAAACAUAUUAAUCAUUAGCAUCAGCAUUUAAUGUUUUUUGCGAAUUGCAGUACAGGUAUAAUGAAAGUUAAUGAAAAUCUAGCAAUCGUAUAAGUAGAGUUAGACACAAUGCUGGAGUAACUUAGCAGGUCAGGCACAUUCUCUAGAAAAUGGAUAGCUGUAUUUCAGGUUGGGGUACUUCUUCAGACAGGGUCUAAAGAAGGGUCCCUACCCGAAAUGUCACCUAUCCAUUUCUACAGAGAAAUUGCUUGACCUGCUGAGUUACUUGAGCAUUAUGUGUCUUAUCUUUGGUAUAAACCAGCAGCUGCAGUUUCUUUUUAUUAUAACCAUAUAAGCAACUGGUUUAGAAGCAUGGUCUUGGCUGUUGAAGUGUUAUAAAUUAAACUUUAGACGUAAUGCACACUUGAUCAACGUCAGGACAGAUCCAACAGUUGAGUGUUGGUUGGUGAAGAUGGUGCAGUCAACAUAAGGAUGUUCAUUUGUUGGAGCCUGGAAAAGCUGGAUCAUGGCUGAGAUGAGGAUGAAGGGAGAGGGAGGUAAAUCACCAGAUUUGUGCAAGGUGAAGACUAGAUUGCAAUGAGGUAUCUGGGGCUUUCAACCUUGACCUUGUGGGAACUGCAAUAUGACAAAGGUUAAGGUAACGUGCAUCCAGCUACAGUUUUGAAAUUUGAAUAUGUUUUAGUUCUUAGUUAAAUAGUUGUUUUUAGAAACAUUAAUCAUUAGCGCUGGAUUUUAAUGUUUUGUUAAUUGCAAUGUCAUGAGUUUUAAUGGAAAACUAGAAACCCUAUGUAUUGAUGCUGGUUUUGAUGCAUGUUGUGUGCUGUUGAUUUUUUUCAAUAUUCUGAUAUUUCAUGAAUGUUUUAGGAAUAUUUCAAUCUUGACCUUGUGGAAACUGCCGUAUGAGAAAGAUUAAGGUAGCAUGCAGCCAGCUACAGGUGCCAGCUAAAGAUCCUUGAACAUUGAGUGAUAGUUGUACAGCACAAGGUCCUGGAGAGUUGGUCUUUGGACAUGCAACUGGCUCUAACCAUACAGCACAAGAUCCAAGAGUUAUCCUACUGAUUAAAUGCAAAUAGAGGAUUGAAAUGCAUGCAGUUUUUAAUUUGAUAUAUUCGUGCUUUUAUGGACGUAUUGUGAUUGGUGAUAGGAAUUUGAAGAGUGCGCAAGAUUUCAAUCGGUCAGAAUGUAUAUAAAAGUCGACACUUCCAAGCAGAAUUUCAGAGUAGUGCGAUAACUGGGACUGUGCUGCUCUUCUCUUGCACACGUAAAUAAAGAGUGUUUGGGAAACAAACGCAAGUUGUCUGAGUCCAGUUGAUCAGGGAUGACAACCUGUGUGGAAUUAGGUGGUCACAUCACUUUCUGCCAGCUAUUAAUGGAUACAGUAUCAAUGAAUCUUUAUACUGUCCAAGAAUGCAGUGGAAAGAUGUGAAGACACCCUAGAUGAAAUGAUGAUGGGUGCACUCUAAUAUUCAGAGACACCUGUCCCCUGCUUGCUUCCGUUGGAUUGUAUAAUGAUUCAUUUACAACAAUACAUUUGGGUCUCCAUUGGGUGUUGGAGUCACAGCCGAUAGUUCUACAUUACAUUAAAACCGCAUUAAUAGUUUUAUUGAGCUUUUAAGUUUGUGAUUAAGUUUAAGUUUGGACAUUAUAAAAAUAAUGUAUAUAGUUAACAUACAUUAUUUUAACUAUAUGUUCAUUCUGAAGUGAUUUAAGACAAGUGACUAUUGCAUGUUUUA